Molecule: ribosomal RNA, 774 nt
Filed under: uncultured Neocallimastigales
Lineage: Eukaryota; Fungi; Neocallimastigomycota; Neocallimastigomycetes; Neocallimastigales
Description: partial large subunit ribosomal RNA
Rfam family: Eukaryotic large subunit ribosomal RNA
Source: RNAcentral
UCAGACGAUGCGUCAUGCAUAUCAAUAAGCGGAGGAAAAGAAACUAACAAGGAUUCCCCUAGUAACGGCGAGUGAAGCGGGAAGAGCUCAAAUUUGAAAUCUUAAAGGGUUUCCCUUUACGAAUUGUAGUUUAAAGAAGUGUUUUCUGUUGAGGUUUUGGUAAAAGUUCUUUGGAAUAGGACAUCAUAGAGGGUGAGAAUCCCGUAUUUGACCUUUACUUUCAACUUUGUGAUACACUUUCAAAGAGUCGGAUUGGUUGGGAAUGCAGUCCAAAAUGGGUGGUAAAUUUCAUCUAAAGCUAAAUAUCGGCGAGAGACCGAUAGCGAACAAGUACCGUGAGGGAAAGAUGAAAAGAACUUUGAAAAGAGAGUUAAACAGUACGUGAAAUUGUCAAAAGGGAAGCGUUUGACACCAGUGUUGUUUUUCUGAAAAUCAAUUAAAGAACUGUUUAUGCUAAGUUGUUUAGACUUUAUCAGCUAACUGUUUAGUUUUGAGCUUUUCUUUAAUGCACUUUUCAGUUAACAAGUCAACAUCAAUUUCUUUUGCUGUAAAAAAGCUUGAGGAAGGUGGCUUGAGAUUCGUCUUAAGUGUUUAUAGCCUCUUGCCUAUGCAGUCGGAGAGAUUGAGGUCUGCAGCGUAGAUCCUUCGGGGCUAAAUGCAUUUGUGCUAAGUUAUAGCAUUUCAUAGACAACUUGUUGACUAUGAUUUGUCUUGUAGCUUACUUGCUUAUGUUAUUUUACCUACGCUUAGGAUGUUGAAUCUGUGCGAGACUAC